This is a long non-coding RNA of Neodiprion fabricii, 261 nucleotides long. RefSeq lists it as uncharacterized. The transcript has 3 exons. The record is from RefSeq and is a predicted model, not a curated record. NCBI's taxonomy places the organism in Eukaryota, Metazoa, Arthropoda, Insecta, Hymenoptera, Diprionidae.
UUUGCCAUCCAAGAGUGUGAAUUCACAAGUUGGAAGGGGGUUGGCGAGUAACAAAGGCAUGCAGCGUCCAGCCAAAGAAAACAAAGAAACUAUUAUUCUAGAACACUUCCAUAGAGAGCUACUAAUCACUAUUAGCAAAAUUUACCACAUGACCCAAGAGGUCGAAAAACGACUCAAGUUCAUCGAAGACUCACUAAAAGCAAAGGAGUUACACCUUCCAGGGGCUCAAAAUAACGGUCAUGGUGCGGACGGAGACGCACU